GCCGGGCACUCAGCUGGGCCGCCUCUCUGUGUUGCAGGUGACGGAGCGAGGCCACGAGGACGCGGCUCCUCCCCGGGACCGUGGGGGACAUCCCCACCCUCCGUCCCAGGGAUCCCCAUGAUCCCUGUGGAUCCCUGUGGAUCCCCAUCAUCCGUCCCAGUGGAUCCCAGUGAUCCCCGUGGAUCCCCACCCUCCAUCCCAGUGAUCCCUGUGGAUCCCCACCCUCCGUCCCAGGGAUCCCCAUGGAUCCCAGUGAUCCCCAGGGAUCCCAGUGAUCCCCACCCUCCAUCCCAGUGAUCCCCGUGGAUCCCAGUGAUCCCCACCAUCCAUCCCAGUCACUCCCAGUGGAUCCCAGUGAUCCCCACCAUCCAUCCCAGUCACUCCCAGUGGAUCCCAGUGAUCCCACUGGAUCCCCACCCUCCAUCCCAGUGGAUCCCCACCCUCCGUCCCAGUCAUUCCCAGUGGAUCCCCGUGAUCCCUGUGGAUCCCCACCAUCCAUCCCAGUCACUCCCAGUGGAUCCCAAUGGUGCCUGUGGAUCCCCACCACCCAUCCCACUCACUCUCAUCGAUCCCAGUGAUCCCAGUGGAUCCCAGUGGAUCCCCACCAUCCAUCCCAAUCAAUCCCAGCGGAUCCCGGCUGCUGCUGGGGUGGGGCAAGGUCGGUUUUCGCUCUGCACGUGAAGCUUAUUGAAAGGCGGGGAA
RNAcentral lists this long non-coding RNA (702 nucleotides) under Lonchura striata (white-rumped munia). RNAcentral describes it as "domestica (Bengalese finch) lncRNA (ENSLSDG00000003105.1)". The record is from RNAcentral. Lineage: Eukaryota; Metazoa; Chordata; Aves; Passeriformes; Estrildidae.